UUAAAUUGAAGAGUUUGAUCAUGGCUCAGAUUGAACGCUGGCGGCAGGCCUAACACAUGCAAGUCGAACGGUAACAGGAAGCAGCUUGCUGCUUCGCUGACGAGUGGCGGACGGGUGAGUAAUGUCUGGGAAACUGCCUGAUGGAGGGGGAUAACUACUGGAAACGGUAGCUAAUACCGCAUAACGUCGCAAGA
Molecule: ribosomal RNA, 194 nt
Filed under: Escherichia coli
Lineage: Bacteria; Pseudomonadati; Pseudomonadota; Gammaproteobacteria; Enterobacterales; Enterobacteriaceae
Description: partial 16S ribosomal RNA
Rfam family: Bacterial small subunit ribosomal RNA
Source: RNAcentral